Molecule: ribosomal RNA, 433 nt
Filed under: uncultured bacterium
Lineage: Bacteria
Description: partial 16S ribosomal RNA
Rfam family: Bacterial small subunit ribosomal RNA
Source: RNAcentral
AGCGAACGCUGGCGGCAGGCUUAACACAUGCAAGUCGAACGCAUCCUUCGGGGUGAGUGGCAGACGGGUGAGUAACACGUGGGAACGUACCCUUCGAUCUGGGAUAACUUCGGGAAACUGGAGCUAAUACCGGAUACGCCCUUUUGGGGAAAGGUUUACUGUCGAAGGAUCGGCCCGCGUCUGAUUAGCUAGUUGGUGGGGUAACGGCCUACCAAGGCGACGAUCAGUAGCUGGUCUGAGAGGAUGAUCAGCCACACUGGGACUGAGACACGGCCCAGACUCCUACGGGAGGCAGCAGUGGGGAAUAUUGGACAAUGGGCGCAAGCCUGAUCUAGCCAUGCCGCGUGAGUGAUGAAGGCCUUAGGGUUGUAAAGCUCUUUUGUCCGGGACGAUAAUGACGGUACCGGAAGAAUAAGCCCCGGCUAACUUCGUG